This 106-nucleotide small nucleolar RNA is filed under the name Jatropha curcas. Its description in RNAcentral is "Plant small nucleolar RNA R71". It matches the Rfam family "Plant small nucleolar RNA R71". From Rfam's summary of the family: R71 is a member of the C/D box family of snoRNAs containing the C (UGAUGA) and D (CUGA) box motifs. Multiple nearly identical copies of this snoRNA have been identified in Arabidopsis, and it is thought to function as a 2'-O-ribose methylation guide for 18S ribosomal RNA. The record is from Rfam by way of RNAcentral. Lineage: Eukaryota; Viridiplantae; Streptophyta; Magnoliopsida; Malpighiales; Euphorbiaceae.
AGGCAAUGAUGCGGGCACUUCCUCAAUAGGUCAUUGAAUCUCUCCCAAGCUUCAUUCAGACUUUCUUAAUCAUGGUGGGCAAAAUCAUUAUCUCAUUGUAAAGCUU